Molecule: long non-coding RNA, 547 nt
Organism: Hibiscus syriacus
Lineage: Eukaryota; Viridiplantae; Streptophyta; Magnoliopsida; Malvales; Malvaceae
Exons: 3
Source: RefSeq, a predicted model, not a curated record
AACAAUUCAAACAAGUUGGCAAAAUUAGCUUCCAAGUCGAAAGAGAUGACUCCAAGGAACAUGAGUUCUGCACAGGCAGUACCUCCAAAGUAGAAUGAAAACAAUGUAGCUCUUGAUGGAGAAUUGCCUAAUGGAAAAGUCUCGAGUGGUGUUUGAACAAUCGAGCCAUUAAUCCAUCUUCCGGGGGUAUCUACACAAAUGGCAAAAUUAGUUGUCUAAUCUUCCCAUGAACAGGAGCAGAGCAUCGGUGAUCCGGUUCUGUUGAUGAGGAUUUUGACUGAAAAUGCUCAAAAGUAACAAAAUUCUUAAAAUCAGUUCCUAGCUGAUACUCCACCAGCUAUGCCAUCUGUUUAGCCUAUUAGAUUAGAUGAGUCAAGCAACGCUGCCGCUGCCGCUGCUCUUGCAUGGAUGUCUAUAGGGGCCGGAGCCUUUAAGGAAGCAACUGAAAACCCUGGCACUUCAAAAGGCAAAUUAUCCGCAGAAUCGUUAUACAACCCGGCUAGGGAACUUCAUCCACAAGCUUCACAAGUUUGAGGGCAGUUCCCUC